RNAcentral lists this ribosomal RNA (454 nucleotides) under uncultured bacterium. Its description in RNAcentral is "bacterial SSU rRNA". It matches the Rfam family "Bacterial small subunit ribosomal RNA", at positions 340 to 786 of the family's 1533-position model. The record is from RNAcentral.
UACGGAAGGCAGCAGUGGGGAAUAUUGCACAAUGGGCGAAAGCCUGAUGCAGCUAUGCCGCGUGUAUGAAGAAGGCCUUAGGGUUGUAAAGUACUUUCAUCGGGGAGGAAAAACAAAACUAAUAAUUUUAUUUCUUGACGUUACCCGAAAAAGAAGCACCGGCUAACUCCGUGCCAGCAGCCGCGGUAAUACGGAGGGUGCUAGCGUUAAUCAGAAUUACUGGGCGUAAAGAGCACGUAAGUGGUUUUUUUAAGUCAGAUGUGAAAUCCCUGGGCUUAACCUGGAACUGCAUUUUGAAACUGAAAUACUAGAGUAUCGUAGAGGGAGGUAGAAUUCUAGGUGUAGCGGUGAAAUGCGUAGAUAUCUGGAGGAAUACCUGUGGCGAAAGCGGCCUCCUAAACGAAUACUGACACUGAGGUGCGAAAGCGUGGGGAGCAAACAGGGAUUAGAUACC